CUCCUACGGGAGGCAGCAGUGAGGAAUAUUGGUCAAUGGGCGGGAGCCUGAACCAGCCAAGUAGCGUGAAGGACGACGGCCCUACGGGUUGUAAACUUCUUUUAUAAGGGAAUAAAGUUCGCCACGUGUGGUGUUUUGUAUGUACCUUAUGAAUAAGCAUCGGCUAAUUCCGUGCCAGCAGCCGCGGUAAUACGGAAGAUGCGAGCGUUAUCCGGAUUUAUUGGGUUUAAAGGGAGCGUAGGCGGGCUUUUAAGUCAGCGGUCAAAUGUCACGGCUCAACCGUGGCCAGCCGUUGAAACUGCAAGCCUUGAGUCUGCACAGGGCACAUGGAAUUCGUGGUGUAGCGGUGAAAUGCAUAGAUAUCACGCAGAACCCCGAUUGCGAAGGCAGCCUGCUAGGGUGCGACAGACGCUGAGGCACGAAAGCGUGGGUAUCGAACAGGAUUAGAUACCCUGGUAGUCCACGCAGUAAACGAUGAAUACUAACUGUUUGCGAUACAAUGUAAGCGGUACAGCGAAAGC
Molecule: ribosomal RNA, 521 nt
Filed under: uncultured bacterium
Lineage: Bacteria
Description: bacterial SSU rRNA
Rfam family: Bacterial small subunit ribosomal RNA
Source: RNAcentral